GAUGAACGCUGGCGGCGUGCCUAAUGCAUGCAAGUCGAGCGAACGGACGAGAAGCUUGCUUUUCUGAUGUUAGCGGCGGACGGGUGAGUAACACGUGGAUAACCUACCUAUAAGACUGGGAUAACUUCGGGAAACCGGAGCUAAUACCGGAUAAUAUUUUGAACCGCAUGGUUCAAAAGUGAAAGACGGUCUUGCUGUCACUUAUAGAUGGAUCCGCGCUGCAUUAGCUAGUUGGUAAGGUAACGGCUUACCAAGGCAACGAUGCAUAGCCGACCUGAGAGGGUGAUCGGCCACACUGGAACUGAGACACGGUCCAGACUCCUACGGGAGGCAGCAGUAGGGAAUCUUCCGCAAUGGGCGAAAGCCUGACGGAGCAACGCCGCGUGAGUGAUGAAGGUCUUCGGAUCGUAAAACUCUGUAUUAGGGAAGAACAUAUGUGUAAGUAACUGUGCACAUCUUGACGGUACCUAAUCAGAAAGCCACGGCUAACUACGUG
RNAcentral lists this ribosomal RNA (496 nucleotides) under uncultured bacterium. RNAcentral's name for it is "partial 16S ribosomal RNA". It matches the Rfam family "Bacterial small subunit ribosomal RNA", at positions 28 to 507 of the family's 1533-position model. The record is from RNAcentral.